Molecule: ribosomal RNA, 785 nt
Filed under: uncultured bacterium
Lineage: Bacteria
Description: bacterial SSU rRNA
Rfam family: Bacterial small subunit ribosomal RNA
Source: RNAcentral
CAGUCGAACGGAACUGUUUUGAAAGAUUUCUUCGGAAUGAAUUUGAUUUAGUUUAGUGGCGGGCGGGUGAGUAACGCGUGAGUAACCUGCCUUCAAGAGGGGGAUAACAUUCUGAAAAGAAUGCUAAUACCGCAUGACAUAUCGGAAUCACAUGGUUUUGAUAUCAAAGAUUUUAUCGCUUGAAGAUGGACUCGCGUCCGAUUAGUUAGUUGGUGAGGUAACGGCUCACCAAGACCGCGAUCGGUAGCCGGACUGAGAGGUUGAACGGCCACAUUGGGACUGAGACACGGCCCAGACUCCUACGGGAGGCAGCAGUGGGGGAUAUUGCGCAAUGGGGGCAACCCUGACGCAGCAACGCCGCGUGAAGGAUGAAGGUUUUCGGAUUGUAAACUUCUUUUAUUAAGGACGAAACUUGACGGUACUUAAUGAAUAAGCUCCGGCUAACUACGUGCCAGCAGCCGCGGUAAUACGUAGGGAGCAAGCGUUGUCCGGAUUUACUGGGUGUAAAGGGUGCGUAGGCGGCUUUGCAAGUCAGAUGUGAAAUCUAUGGGCUCAACCCAUAAACUGCACUUGAAACUGUAGAGCUUGAGUGAAGUAGAGGCAGGCGGAAUUCCCCGUGUAGCGGUGAAAUGCGUAGAGAUGGGGAGGAACACCAGUGGCGAAGGCGGCCUGCUGGGCUUUAACUGACGCUGAGGCACGAAAGCGUGGGUAGCAAACAGGAUUAGAUACCCUGGUAGUCCACGCUGUAAACGAUGAUUACUAGGUGUGGGGGGUCUGACCCCUUC